RNAcentral lists this non-coding RNA (161 nucleotides) under pig gut metagenome. The record is from RNAcentral.
CGUAGAAUAUUAGAAUUUCUUAAUGUUCUAUCACAUACCCAGCAAUUCCCUAACACGAUGUUAGGGAAAGGCUUCCACCCGACAGGAGGUCGGAUUGGAAGCCGAUUGCGUCAAGAAUCACUCAUAUAAAAUAGAACAUUUAGAAAUUCUUAUAUUCGCAG